Molecule: ribosomal RNA, 497 nt
Filed under: uncultured bacterium
Lineage: Bacteria
Description: partial 16S ribosomal RNA
Rfam family: Bacterial small subunit ribosomal RNA
Source: RNAcentral
GAUGAACGCUGGCGGCGUGCCUAAUACAUGCAAGUCGAGCGAACAGACGAGGAGCUUGCUCCUCUGACGUUAGCGGCGGACGGGUGAGUAACACGUGGAUAACCUACCUAUAAGACUGGGAUAACUUCGGGAAACCGGAGCUAAUACCGGAUAAUAUAUUGAACCGCAUGGUUCAAUAGUGAAAGACGGUUUUGCUGUCACUUAUAUAUGGAUCCGCGCCGCAUUAGCUAGUUGGUAAGGUAACGGCUUACCAAGGCAACGAUGCGUAGCCGACCUGAGAGGGUGAUCGGCCACACUGGAACUGAGACACGGUCCAGACUCCUACGGGAGGCAGCAGUAGGGAAUCUUCCGCAAUGGGCGAAAGCCUGACGGAGCAACGCCGCGUGAGUGAUGAAGGUCUUCGGAUCGUAAAACUCUGUUAUUAGGGAAGAACAAAUGUGUAAGUAAAUAUGCACGUCUUGACGGUACCUAAUCAGAAAGCCACGGCUAACUACGUG